AACGAACGCUGGCGGCGUGCCUAACACAUGCAAGUCGUGCGAGAAAGGUUCCUUCGGGAGCGAGUAAAGCGGCGCACGGGUGAGUAACACGUAGGUAACCUGCCCCCCAGUCUGGAACAACUAGAGGAAACUCUAGCUAAUGCCGGAUGAGACCACGAUCCCUUCGGGGGGUUGCGGCCAAAGAUGGCCUCUACUUGUAAGCUAUCGCUGAGGGAUGGGCCUGCGGGCCAUUAGCUUGUUGGUGAGGUAACGGCUCACCAAGGCUGUGAUGGCUAGCUGGUCUGAGAGGAUGACCAGCCACACUGGGACUGAGACACGGCCCAGACUCCUACGGGAGGCAGCAGUGGGAAUAUUGCGCAAUGGGCGAAAGCCUGACGCAGCGACGCCGCGUGGGUGAUGAAGGCCUUCGGGUCGUAAAGCCCUGUCGCAGGGGAAGAAUAAGCAUCGGUAUAAUACGCCGGUGCCCUGACGGUACCCUGCAAGAAAGCACCGGCUAACUCCGUG
Molecule: ribosomal RNA, 504 nt
Filed under: uncultured bacterium
Lineage: Bacteria
Description: bacterial SSU rRNA
Rfam family: Bacterial small subunit ribosomal RNA
Source: RNAcentral